GCCGCUCUGAUCAACUUUUGUUGUUGGACCAAGACAUCUAUAGUUUGCCAAAUCCAAACUUUGGCUUGUCUGGUUUAGACGCCAGCUCGUGUACCAGUGCUGAUAAUGUGUUGAAUGUUGAUAAUGCAUGAAAUGUCCAUGCCUUCAACCAAAAUAGUUGAAUCAAGAUCUAACAUCGCCAUCUUACUGUCCUAUAGCUAACACUUUGUUUACUCCCACAAGUACCAUUAACAAUUGGUCUCGGUAAAGCACUGGAGUAUGAUUGAGGACUUAUGUCAACUCACUUCUCUUUCUCCUUGUAGUAGCCCCAGGAUGGUGUGUGAACUGCUACUCUCCUCACUGUGGUUCCUCUUUGUCAUCUUCUGGGUGGAGACCAUAAGCGUUUGGCUGUUUCUAUGCAUCUUCUACCAGGAUCGGGCAUUUUAUCACUGGGGGGACGGGGCAUUUGCAGAUGACCCCGGUCAAAUGCUGUACAUGUUGAGCAGAGUUGAUCCUUCUGGACAGAUGCAGACCUGAGAAAGGAAAAUGAUGAGGAACAGCACAUGAUGAAAGCAAGAAGGCUAAACUAGGCGUGGACGCGGAUUGGUUUGCAUUUCCUAUAAAGUUAGGAUAUGUUUGCAUCCGAAGAAGGAAUAAAUUAUAACAUUUUCCAAGCCUGUUUAUGCACUGUGCUUUUUUAUUUUCAUUUGGCUGCUGAUUGGUUCUCCGGUCAACCAGCCAUUUGUCAAUUGUAUGUUCCAAUUCUAAAAAGGGGC
This is a long non-coding RNA of Esox lucius (northern pike), 755 nucleotides long. Lineage: Eukaryota; Metazoa; Chordata; Actinopteri; Esociformes; Esocidae. The record is from Ensembl.